UUUCUAAACUCCCAACCCUUUGUGAACUUACCUUUGUUGCCUCGGCGGGGCCUACCCUGUAACGACCCCUUUUGGGGGAGCUACCCUGUAGCCCGCCGGUGGAUUUUCAAACUCUUGUUAUUUUAGUAGUAUCUGAGCGUCUUAUUUUAAUAAGUCAAAACUUUCAACAACGGAUCUCUUGGUUCUGGCAUCGAUGAAGAACGCAGCGAAAUGCGAUAAGUAAUGUGAAUUGCAGAAUUCAGUGAAUCAUCGAAUCUUUGAACGCACAUUGCGCCCAUUAGUAUUCUAGUGGGCAUGCCUGUUCGAGCGUCAUUUCAACCCUUAAGCCUAGCUUAGUGUUGGGAGUCUACUGGUGGUAACUCGUUUACCUUGUAGUUCCUAAAAUGAAACGGCGGAUCCGCAGUAUCCUCUGAGCGUAAUAAGUUAUUAUCUCGCUUCUGUUUAGGUGCUGUGGUUCUUGCCGCUAAACCCCCAAUUUUUAAUGGUUGACCUCGGAUCAGGUAGGAAUACCCGC
Molecule: ribosomal RNA, 514 nt
Filed under: Pestalotiopsis sp. MS278
Lineage: Eukaryota; Fungi; Ascomycota; Sordariomycetes; Amphisphaeriales; Sporocadaceae
Description: eukaryotic LSU rRNA
Rfam family: 5.8S ribosomal RNA (bases 159-312)
Source: RNAcentral